UACGUAGGUGGCAAGCGUUGUCCGGAUUUACUGGGUGUAAAGAGCGCGCAGGCGGUCGAGUAAGUCGAAUGUGAAAGCCCCCGGCUUAACUGGGGAGGGUCAUUCGAUACUGUUCGACUUGAAGGCAGGAGAGGGCAGCAGAAUUCCCGGUGUAGUGGUGAAAUGCGUAGAUAUCGGGAGGAAUACCAGUGGCGAAGGCGGCUGCCUGGCCUGUUCUUGACGCUGAGGCGCGAAAGCUGGGGGAGCAAACGGG
Molecule: ribosomal RNA, 253 nt
Filed under: uncultured bacterium
Lineage: Bacteria
Description: partial 16S ribosomal RNA
Rfam family: Bacterial small subunit ribosomal RNA
Source: RNAcentral